GUACUUAGCUGGCAGGGGAGAUGAGACACCUUGAUCAUGAAGGAGGUUUUCCCAGGGCGAGGCUCAUCCAUUGCACUGCAGGUGUGCUGACCCCUGAUAUUUCCCCAAAUGUGGGAAACUCAACUGCAUAAUUUGUGGUAGUGGGGGACUGCGUGCGCACUUUUA
Sphaerodactylus townsendi is the source of this 165-nucleotide small nuclear RNA. RefSeq annotates it as U1 spliceosomal RNA. Lineage: Eukaryota; Metazoa; Chordata; Lepidosauria; Squamata; Sphaerodactylidae. The record is from RefSeq and is a predicted model, not a curated record. The transcript has a single exon.